This 377-nucleotide ribosomal RNA is filed under the name uncultured Thermovirga sp. RNAcentral's name for it is "bacterial SSU rRNA". It matches the Rfam family "Bacterial small subunit ribosomal RNA", at positions 1005 to 1382 of the family's 1533-position model. The record is from RNAcentral. Lineage: Bacteria; Thermotogati; Synergistota; Synergistia; Synergistales; Thermovirgaceae.
GAAGGACUUACUCUUCGGAGUGAGAGCGUACACAGGUGCUGCAUGGCUGUCGUCAGCUCGUGUCGUGAGAUGUGGGUUAAGUCCCGCAACGAGCGCAACCCUGCAUUCAGUUGCCAUCGGUAAGCCGGGCACUCUGGAUGGACUGCCGGCGACAAGCCGGAGGAAGUGGGGACGACGUCAAGUCAUCAUGGCCCUUAUGUCCAGGGCGACACACGUGCUACAAUGGCCGGCACAACGGGAAGCGAAGGGGCGACCCUGAGCGGAUCCCACAAAAGCCGGUCUCAGUUCGGAUUGCAGUCUGCAACUCGACUGCAUGAAGUUGGAAUCGCUAGUAAUCGUGGAUCAGCCAAGCCGCGGUGAAUACGUUCCCGGGCCUU